RNAcentral lists this ribosomal RNA (1000 nucleotides) under uncultured delta proteobacterium. RNAcentral's name for it is "bacterial SSU rRNA". It matches the Rfam family "Bacterial small subunit ribosomal RNA", at positions 509 to 1504 of the family's 1533-position model. The record is from RNAcentral. Lineage: Bacteria; Deltaproteobacteria.
CAGCAGCCGCGGUAAUACGUGGGGUGCAAGCGUUAUUCGGAAUUAUUGGGCGUAAAGGGCGCGCAGGCGGCCUGUUAAGUCAGAUGUGAAAGCCCGGGGCUUAACCCCGGAGGCGCAUUUGAUACUGGCAGGCUUGAGUAUGGGAGAGGGAAGUGGAAUUCCUGGUGUAGCGGUGAAAUGCGUAGAUAUCAGGAGGAACACCGGUGGCGAAGGCGACUUCCUGGACCAAUACUGACGCUGAGGCGCGAAGGCGUGGGUAGCAAACAGGAUUAGAUACCCUGGUAGUCCACGCAGUAAACGGUGAUCACUAGGUGUAGCGGGUAGUCGACCCCUGCUGUGCCGGAGUUAACGCAUUAAGUGAUCCGCCUGGGGAGUACGAUCGCAAGGUUAAAACUCAAAGGAAUUGACGGGGGCCCGCACAAGCGGUGGAGCAUGUGGUUCAAUUCGACGCAACGCGAAGAACCUUACCUGGAUUUGACAUUCCGAGAAGUCUUUCGAAAGAUAGAUGUGCCCUUCGGGGAACUCGGUGACAGGUGCUGCAUGGCUGUCGUCAGCUCGUGUCGUGAGAUGUUGGGUUAAGUCCCGCAACGAGCGCAACCCUUAUCUUUAGUUGCCAGCAUUCAGUUGGGGACUCUAGAGAUACUGCCCCGGUUAACGGGGAGGAAGGUGGGGAUGACGUCAAGUCCUCAUGGCCUUUAUGUCCAGGGCUACACACGUGCUACAAUGGGCGGAACAAAGGGUCGCAAGCCUGCGAAGGUUAGCUAAUCCCAUAAAACCGUUCUCAGUUCGGAUUGGAGUCUGCAACUCGACUCCAUGAAGUUGGAAUCGCUAGUAAUCGUGGAUCAGCAUGCCACGGUGAAUACGUUCCCGGGCCUUGUACACACCGCCCGUCACACCAUGAGAGUUGGUUGUACCAGAAGUUGUUGGGCCAAUCCUUCGGGAGGGCAGGCACCUAAGGUAUGGCUGAUGAUUGGGGUGAAGUCGUAACAAGGUAACCGUA